Molecule: ribosomal RNA, 600 nt
Filed under: uncultured bacterium
Lineage: Bacteria
Description: bacterial SSU rRNA
Rfam family: Bacterial small subunit ribosomal RNA
Source: RNAcentral
AGGGUUUGAUCCUGGCUCAGGACGAGCGCUGGCGGCGUGCUUAACACAUGCAAGUCUAUUUGAAGUUUGGUGCUUGCACUGAAUGGAGGAUGGCGAACGGGUGAGUAACGCGUAGACAAUCUGCCCUUCAAUCCGGGAUAACCCUGUGAAAACGGGACUAAGACCGGAUGGUAUCUCUCUCUCGCAUGAGAUUGAGAUUAAAGACCUUGAGUCGUUGAAGGAUGAGUCUGCGUGACAUUAGCUAGUUGGUAAGGUAACGGCUUACCAAGGCUAUGAUGUCUAGCUGGUCUGAGAGGAUGAUCAGCCACACUGGGACUGAGAUACGGCCCAGACUCCUACGGGAGGCAGCAGUGAGGAAUAUUGCGCAAUGGGGGCAACCCUGACGCAGCAACGCCGCGUGUACGAAGACGCAGUUAUCUGUGUAAAGUACUGUUAAUCGGGAAGAAGGAGUCUGUUAGCAGCAGACUUUGACUGUACCGGUAGAGGAAGCUCCGGCUAACUCCGUGCCAGCAGCCGCGGUAAUACGGGGGGGAGCGAGCGUUGUCCGGAAUCAUUGGGCGUAAAGGGCAUUCAGGUGGGUCUUUAAGUCAGUUGUUAAAU